Capsicum annuum is the source of this 737-nucleotide long non-coding RNA. RefSeq lists it as uncharacterized. Lineage: Eukaryota; Viridiplantae; Streptophyta; Magnoliopsida; Solanales; Solanaceae. The transcript is spliced from 2 exons. The record is from RefSeq and is a predicted model, not a curated record.
AAUUCACUUAUUAUCUCAACAGCCGCAUGUCUCUUUCUCCCUCUUCCACUCUUUCUUUCUCUAUCAAAUAGCAAAAGCUGCUGCCGGUCACCGUAUCUAGUGAGACGCCGGAGCAGUGGCGCCCCAUCGCCGGCCUCCUCUCUCUGCUCUCCCGUUUCCAGCCGUGGCAAUACCCACCAGCCACUGCUCCAGCGUCGACUCCAUCUCUGUCGCUCAACCGGCGAAAUUCAACAGCCAACUCCACCGCUGGCCACCAAAUCCGAACCAACCGCCAUAACAGCCAACUUCGGUCGCCGUACCAUCAUUUUGGCCAGCGAAAUCAGUCUCACCAGUGGACGCCAACCAUGGACGAUGAAUCUCCAACCAACACCGCCAUUGCUCCACCCGUUUCCGAUAAAAAAAUCAGUCCAUUACCAUCGUCACUCCGUUAAAUGUCAACGGAAGAAUCUUAAGUACAUGACGAAUUCACAUGCGAAUCCGUCUUAGAUGAAACUUGAUUAUAGCUGGAUAUAUCAAUGAAAUAUUGAUAAUAAAAUGGGUGAGGCUGAGAAUGAAGAUGCGGAUGAUGAGUUGUAGUUUUUAGUCUUUUGUAUGUUUUAUAGUUUGAAUUUGGAAUCUCGAUAAAUUUUGUAAAUAAUUUGAUUUUUAAUCUUUAUAUUCUUAUGGUGAUUGGUUGAUUGUAUAUUAAAUGAUUGACGGACUGUAUUGUAAAUAAUUUGAUUUGAUUUUUAAUGUUC